Molecule: transfer RNA, 92 nt
Filed under: Fusarium solani
Lineage: Eukaryota; Fungi; Ascomycota; Sordariomycetes; Hypocreales; Nectriaceae
Rfam family: tRNA
About the family: Transfer RNA (tRNA) molecules are approximately 80 nucleotides in length. Their secondary structure includes four short double-helical elements and three loops (D, anti-codon, and T loops). Further hydrogen bonds mediate the characteristic L-shaped molecular structure. tRNAs have two regions of fundamental functional importance: the anti-codon, which is responsible for specific mRNA codon recognition, and the 3' end, to which the tRNAs corresponding amino acid is attached (by aminoacyl-tRNA synthetases). tRNAs cope with the degeneracy of the genetic code in two manners: having more than one tRNA (with a specific anti-codon) for a particular amino acid; and 'wobble' base-pairing, i.e. permitting non-standard base-pairing at the 3rd anti-codon position.
Source: Rfam by way of RNAcentral
GACAAGAUGUCCGAGUGGUUAAGGAGAUAGACUUGAAACGAUCUUGAUAUCUAUUGGCUUCGGCCGCGUAGGUUCGAACCCUGCUCUUGUCG